Molecule: ribosomal RNA, 501 nt
Filed under: uncultured bacterium
Lineage: Bacteria
Description: partial 16S ribosomal RNA
Rfam family: Bacterial small subunit ribosomal RNA
Source: RNAcentral
AUUGAACGCUGGCGGCAGGCUUAACACAUGCAAGUCGAGCGGGGGAAGGUAGCUUGCUACCGGACCUAGCGGCGGACGGGUGAGUAAUGCUUAGGAAUCUGCCUAUUAGUGGGGGACAACAUCUCGAAAGGGAUGCUAAUACAGCAUACGUCCUACGGGAUAAAGCAGGGGAUCUGCGUACCUUGCGCUAUUAGACAAGUCUACGUCGGCUGAGCUAGUUGCUGGGGUAAAGGCCUACCAAGGCGACGAUCUGUAGCGGGUCUGAGAGGAUGAGCCGCCACACUGGGACUGGGACACGGCCCAGACUCCUACGGGAGGCAGCAGUGGGGAAUAUUGGACAAUGGGGGGAACCCUGAUCCAGCCAUGCCGCGUGUGUGAAGAAGGCCUUAUGGUUGUAAAGCACUUUAAGCGAGGAGGAGGCUACUCUAGUUAAUACCUAGGGAUAGUGGACGUUACUCGCAGAAUAAGCACCGGCUAACUCUGUGCCAGCCGCCGCUGUAA